AAAAAGUUUUAUUCUGGCUUAAAAAUUAAGUUUAAUUAUAAUUUAUAUGUAAAUAUAAGUAUAAAUAACUCAGGGUUUUAAUAGGUCUGAAUUUUUUUAUUAUUCGCAGUAAAUAGGUUUAAAUAAUUAAGUAAAUUUAGAUUUAGUGAUAAUUAAUAAUAUUAACAAAUAUUGUGCCAGCAGUUGCGGUUAUACAAAUGAUGUGAUUUAAUUUUUUUAGUAAAAAUUAAUUUUAUAAUAAUUUAAUUUUAUAAUUGAGUUUAUUAGGUGAAAUUUUAAAUUUAAUUAAAAAUUUACAUGAUUUGAUGAAGUUAAGAAAUUUAAUUUAUAAACUAGGAUUAGAUACCCUAUUAUUUUAAAUGUAAAUUAAUUUCUAGAUUAGUAUUAGUUAUGUUCUUGAAAAUUAAAGAUUUUGGCGGUAUUUUAGUCUAUUUAGAGGAACCUGUUCUGUAAUCGAUAAUCCACGAUUAAAUUUACUUAUUUUUUUAGUUUGUAUAUCGUUGUAGUUUGAAUAUUUUAUAAGAAUUAAAUAUUCAAGAUUUUUUAUUAAAAAUAAAUCAAAUCAAGGUGCAGUUUAUAAAUAAGGAGAAAUGGGUUACAAUAAAUUUAUUUAUAUGGAUUUAAUAUUUUAAAAAUUUAAAAGAAAGUGGAUUUAAAAGUAAUUUUAUUAAUUUAAUUAAAAUGAGUUGAGCUCUAGAAUAUGUACAUAUUGCCCGUCGCUUUCAUUAUAAAAUGAAAUAAGUCGUAACAAAGUAGGCUUACUGGAAGGUGAGGCUAGAAAGAA
RNAcentral lists this non-coding RNA (784 nucleotides) under Cucujus kempi. The record is from RNAcentral. Lineage: Eukaryota; Metazoa; Arthropoda; Insecta; Coleoptera; Cucujidae.